This is a non-coding RNA of Nicotiana tabacum (common tobacco), 2809 nucleotides long. The record is from RefSeq and is a predicted model, not a curated record. Lineage: Eukaryota; Viridiplantae; Streptophyta; Magnoliopsida; Solanales; Solanaceae.
ACGCGUGCGCAGGUAUAUUGAUCUUUCAUGAACUUGGCUUCGAUUCUAAUGAACUAAUGAUGCGUUAAAGCAUUUGAUGUACUUUUAAAGACUCAUAACUGUGCAAAUUUUAGUGUUCCAAAUUGCUUUCCAUGCGUAUGUUGAAUGUCUCGGUGAUUCUCAUCGUCAAAGUUCUCCGGGCAUGAGGACUGGGUUGUAUAUGCAGCAUCUAUUCAAGCUUCAAAGUAGCGCGGCACAAUGACUGUAAGGAAGUGAACCUUUUAUCCCUCCAACACCCAAGGCCACCAGGUAGAGGCCACCAAAUAACAUUGCUGCUUGGCCACGACCAGCUUCGUUACAGGAGGUGUUUCUGUUUAUGGAUGCACAGAUAGGCGGCCUCAGGGAAGUUUCCUGUGAUUGUUAUUAAGGUCCAGAUUGGCAGGUGUAGGAAGGUGUACUCUAUCUACAUAUGCUUUUGGAUAGUAGCAGACUAUACAAUGCUAGGAAAACAUUGAUCUCAAAGAGAUUCAACAAGUGUUAUGUGGUGGUGAGGCAAGCAUCAGAUGAAAACCCGCCAAGUAGAGCGAGAAGGAAGGAAGUUCCCAUAAAGUUGGUAACUAUGUUGGCUGAAGCAGAUGGAGAAAAAUUCAUAUUUUUUGAUAGAUAAAGGACUAGAUUGCUCGCAGUUGCCAGGUAAUGAUUUUAUGGAAGUGGUGUUGUUUUUUGGCCAUCAAACUGAAAGGUUACAAUUAUAGGUGCUGGUUUCAUGACGUGCAUUGCACAGUAAGAAGGGAUUAUUGGUUCCUAUAUAUGGUAUGUUGAGACGUCUAGAACAGUUGGAAUCUUUGACAUUACUGUUAAGUUUCGCAAUUAUGUUUUCCUCUCUUGUUUUUUUUUUUUGAGGGGACUCUUCCUUAUUAGUUGUUCUUUUUUUCUUUACUGUGUUCUUGUAUAAUCUCCUAUAAAUAUGUGGGCAAGUUCAUCAUUAUCUGAAGUCAAAUAUCUUGCAAAACUUUAUGCCGAUGCUCAUCCACCCUUGCAUUAGUUCGGUGGACUUCGGAUGUUCUACAUCCUUCUUAUGCUCAACUGAAGGAGCUGGAAAACCAUCAUUUAAGACAUGUCUGGUUAUGCCAAGUCGACAAUGCAUCUUUUAAGUGUUUGGACUCUGGAUUCUUAUCCAUAGUCCAGGUUAUGGCAAGCUGAUCAUGUUGCAACUAACUUUUAGGCCCAUAAAAUAGUAAAUAUGUUCGAUGGUUGCUAAUGAUAUUCCUAUUGGGACCUUACCAAGCAUUUUGUGCUCAAUUUUGAAAGCUCCUAUUGUGACAGGGAGGCCUUAGUCAAGAAAUUGGUGAAUUGGGUCAAAAAUGUCCUCGUCAUUCCUUUCUGUGGCUCACAGGCUUUUUAGUGUUCCCGCUGUAUAUUUAUCUGUACUAACUGGGCUGAAGUGCUUCUUUUUUUUCCCGCCUCAGAUUAUUGCAUUGCUUGCUGCUUUUGGAAUCCUUAAAUCGUUUACUUCAUCAUCUUGGGAAAUUCAAGAUGAAGAGCCAGUAGCCACAUAGUUUUUAACAUUACUCUCCUGUGCCUAUCAUUUUUGUCUUGGAGUUCCUGUAUCUGGCCUCUGGAAAGAGCCGGUGGAUGGGAGUGGGAUGUGAAGUGGAUAUAAGUAUUCCUAUUUCUGGACAGAGAUAGGAAGUUUUUUGUUAGGAAAAGGACCUGGACAGGAAAAGGCUUACCUGAUUGGUUGCUUGGUCUCAGGAGUCAGGGGUCACAUGUGCCCUUUUCCUUCUGAAAGAGGGAACUCCAGUGGACAGUGGUGCUAUUUUGAAACCUAAGUAGACCACUUGAAUGUCCUAUCUGGAUGAUGCCAGAUGCAUUUGAUAAACAAAACUAAUUCAGUUUAUAGCUACCACGGUCUAAAAUAUUAGGGACCUUGGUGUAAAUGUCAGCAAAUGAUUCAUAUAUUAAAAAAAAGGUUCAGCAAAAAUAAUUCUGAAAAACACUGGUUUCAAGGAAAUACAUCUGUGGCAAUUGAUUUGCCUAGCAUAUGCAAGUUUGACACUGUUAGCUAAGUUGUGAUCAUUCUUUUUACCUUACUGGCUGGAGAGACGUAGUAACCUGCAACUCUUUACUGAGUUAACAUACAAAUGAGUUAAACCUGAGACAAGCUACCAGUCAACCUGUUUAUUCUUACCCUUGUCCUUGUAGUUAAAAGGAAGCUCAUUCCCAGAAACAAACAGGGGCAUAGCCUUUGUACAGUUGAAGUCCUAAUCUUUUGUAAUCUAAUUCAUCAUGUAAAGAAUGAAAAUUCACGUAUUGAAGAGCCGGUCUGAAAAGAUGAGUGUGAUGUUUGUAAGACGGAGGAUGAAAGAGAUUAUUGUAUUGGUAAAAAAUAAAUGUUACACGUGGAAUUAUAUGAGGAUGACAGGGCAAGAUACGUGGAUCACUAAGAAGAUGACAACUAGAGUGUCGCAUUAAAAGAUUCACAAUUUACAACAGGUACGAACAAAUCACUUACGAGACGAAAGGGUACGGUUGUUCGAGCCUAAAUUACUCAGACACAGGCAGGAUGAAUCAAGACAGUAAAGAGGGAAGAUUCAUGAACCUCUAAUUAAUGUGGAAAAAGAAUCAGAACCGUUACAGAAUCUUCAUGAGCAGUUACAGUUGCCAAUUAUAACAUUUCAUUAAUGUCAUUAAUGCUCAUAAUGAUUCGGUCAUAAAAGGGAAGAAACGUUAUGUUUGUAAAUUUCUAUAUAAGGGAAGGGAAUUUCACUUUUAAGGACACGUUCUGAAGAACAUUGGAAUAUAAUUAUUUUCUUGUGCUUUCUAUUGA